ACUGCCGUAAAACCCCCCAAUCAACUUUGUUACAGUUGACCUCGAAUCAGGUAGGACUACCCGCUGAACUUAAGCAUAUCAUAGAAGG
Molecule: ribosomal RNA, 88 nt
Filed under: Metarhizium flavoviride
Lineage: Eukaryota; Fungi; Ascomycota; Sordariomycetes; Hypocreales; Clavicipitaceae
Description: partial 28S ribosomal RNA
Source: RNAcentral